RNAcentral lists this long non-coding RNA (707 nucleotides) under Pan troglodytes (chimpanzee). RNAcentral describes it as "long non-coding RNA NONPTRT014782". The record is from RNAcentral. Lineage: Eukaryota; Metazoa; Chordata; Mammalia; Primates; Hominidae.
AAAAAAGCCAUCAGCACUGGCAACCCUGACCCUCUUCUCUGUGGUUCGAUGGGAGCCAGGGCCAAGGGACAUGCAAGUUAUGAAAUUGGAUGUGCCAUACAACAUGCUCUUCAGCUGGUCGGAAAACGAAAGUAUUUUUUCAAGGCCUGGCUGACUGUUGUGUCAUCUUCUACAUGGACUUGUGGGCCCACAGCUGAAUGGGAGGCAGAGAGAUGCAAAAAGUGAGCUGAGUGGCAGGAGGACUAAUUCCUGUCCUCUCUUUAUUGCCAUGGGAUUCGCUUUCAAUCCUCACUCUUCAGGCUUUCUCCAUAUUUACGUGCUUGUAACUCUGGCAUGACCUUUGCUCCAGUCUCUACCAGAGGGCGGCGCCUGGAUUGAAGUGGAAAAGCCCUGUUUUCCAGCCAUGACCCAGGGAGCAAGCACUGACUCCUCAGGGGAACAGGAGACCUGCCAACUAGGACCCUGGGAGCCCCCAUGCUGGCAGUGCCCUGGGUCAUCUCAGGCUCAUCAACAAAUCCUGGGGGGAGAGCGGGGUUGGAGGGCGAAGAAGCCCAGGAGAGUUCCUGGCUCAGAACCCCUCUCUGAGGCUCCCGAUACAGAGCCCAGGCCCCACACCCAGAGCCUCUGAGUAUUUUUGUUUAUUGUAUGUAAAAUACUAGUGUAUUUUUGUUUAAGUCUCACAGGUAAACAGGUUCUCUCAUACUUUG